This 492-nucleotide ribosomal RNA is filed under the name uncultured bacterium. RNAcentral's name for it is "partial 16S ribosomal RNA". It matches the Rfam family "Bacterial small subunit ribosomal RNA", at positions 29 to 507 of the family's 1533-position model. The record is from RNAcentral.
AGUGAACGCUGGCGGUAGGCCUAACACAUGCAAGUCGAACGGCAGCACAGUAAGAGCUUGCUCUUACGGGUGGCGAGUGGCGGACGGGUGAGGAAUACAUUGGAAUCUACUUUUUCGUGGGGGAGAACGUAGGGAAACUUACGCUAAUACCGCAUACGACCUACGGGUGAAAGCAGGGGAUCUUCGGACCUUGCGCGAUUGAAUGAGCCGAUGUCGGAUUAGCUAGUUGGCGGGGUAAAGGCCCACCAAGCCGACGAUCCGUAGCUGGUCUGAGAGGAUGAUCAGCCACACUGGAACUGAGACACGGUCCAGACUCCUACGGGAGGCAGCAGUGGGGAAUAUUGGACAAUGGGCGCAAGCCUGAUCCAGCCAUACCGCGUGGGUGAAGAAGGCCUUCGGGUUGUAAAGCCCUUUUGUUGGGAAAGAAAAGCAGCAGGUUAAUACCCCGCUGUUCUGACGGUACCCAAAGAAUAAGCACCGGCUAACUUCGUG